Non-coding RNA from Peromyscus maniculatus bairdii (prairie deer mouse), 1150 nucleotides. The record is from RefSeq and is a predicted model, not a curated record. Lineage: Eukaryota; Metazoa; Chordata; Mammalia; Rodentia; Cricetidae.
UCUGACAAAAAAAAUGGACAAAGGGAACUUUAGUUUGUGUCCUUAUCCAGGAAUGGACUUGGCAAGACCAAUCUGAGGCUGGAGCCAGUGCCUCACAGGAGUCAAGGUCGUGGCUUCUGAUGACCCAGUUCUUCCUCCUGAGCUGUGGUUAUCAGUCUCAGGGCAGCUGUGUCUGAGGUUUUCCUUUAGUGUAAAAGUCAUUAUAAGCUGUUCUCUGGCCUUAAUGAGCUGGCAUCAGAAAUGUGCUUUUUUGAAUGAAGGUGAAAUCAUCUGCUUCGUCAAACCACCAUGCGCUCCUCGGUCUUCCUCAGGAAGAGGUGAUGGCUGGACCUGCCUGUCCUUCUACCUUUCAUUGGCCUGUAAAUCUAAGCAUGAGAAGGACUGCCAUUGCAGAGGUUCUGAUCUUAUCCUGCCUCUUAAGUGAUGUGGGAGGUGUGAUUUGCAGGUCAUGCAAUCUCUCCAUCCCAUUCCAUGGAUGUCUGUUAAACCUCGGAACCUGCAGAACAAAGCCUGGUCAGUUUUGUAUAAAGGAGAGCUUUGCCAAAGGUGGAAUCCAGUGGUUUUCAAUUAAAGGCUGCACCGAGGACAGAUCGGAGUGCUUCAAGAGGGUCGUGAGGCAUUACGAAGUCCGCUCUUCUCACUGCUGCCACCGGCCCCUGUGCAACUUCUGAGGAAGUGGGCUGUAUCCUUGUCACGUGACUAGCCAGCCAGCCCCGAAGCCUCGCCUAUUCUCGCGAUGGCAGCUUCUGUGUUGCAGGUGCUUUGGACCAUGGUCAGAGACUGACUUCGGCGUUCACUAUGUCCAUAUCCUCCAACUCCCCCACGGUCUCCAAGGUGUCUCACAGGAGCUCUGUGUCACAAAAGCUGUUUCUGUUGCUAUGAUAAAAUAUUCCAAUGAAAAGCAUUUUGAGGAGGAAAGGGUUUAUUUGGCUUAUAUUUCCAAGUCAUGGUCCACCACUGAGGAAAAUCAGAGCAAGAACUCGGGGCCAGAACCUGCAGGCAGGAAUUGAAGUGGACUGAGACCGUGGAGGAGCAAUGCUUGCUGGCCUGUUCCUCAUGGCUGGCUCCAUUUGCUUUCUUAUAUAGCCCAGGUGCCCCAGGAAGGGUACCACCCAAAGUGGGCUGGGCCCUCCCACAUUAAUUUUGAAAU